CUCUCUCUCUCUCUCCAGAGGUAUCAGUCUCUCUCUCUCCAGAGGUAUCAGUCUCUCUCCAGUAUCAGUGUAUCUUCAGACUUACCCAGCAUCGUUGUCCGUCCUCUUCAGUACUUCGGAGAUGUGAGUAAGACUGUGUCUGAACUGAGAGAGAAACUAGAAGACUUCCUUAAAGGAGAAUGGACCAAGAUCUCCACUACAGUGAAUAUAGUGGAUGUUGUACUGCCUCCAGAGCCCAAGACCAGAGAACAGUUGUUACAAUAUUCCUGUCAGCUCACACUGGACCCAAACACAGCACAGACACGCCUCUCUCUGUCUGAAGGGAACAGAAAGGUGACACUUACAGGCCAAGUCCAACCAUAUCCUGACCAUCCAGACAGAUUCACCAACUGGUACCAGGUUCUGUGUAGAGAGGGUCUGUAGUAGUAGUAGGGUCCACAUAGAUACUAGUCAUGCUGGUGUAGUCUAUAGCUGAGCUGGUUAAACUGUAGUAGGGUCCACAUA
Long non-coding RNA from Oncorhynchus kisutch (coho salmon), 504 nucleotides. RefSeq lists it as uncharacterized. NCBI's taxonomy places the organism in Eukaryota, Metazoa, Chordata, Actinopteri, Salmoniformes, Salmonidae. The record is from RefSeq and is a predicted model, not a curated record. The transcript is spliced from 4 exons.